GCCGAUGUAGUUCAAUGGCAGAACAUCAGCUUCCCAAGCUGAUUCGAGGCGUUCAGGCGAGUCUGCUGCCGUCG
Molecule: transfer RNA, 74 nt
Filed under: Mycobacterium alsense
Lineage: Bacteria; Bacillati; Actinomycetota; Actinomycetes; Mycobacteriales; Mycobacteriaceae
Description: tRNA-Gly
Rfam family: tRNA
About the family: Transfer RNA (tRNA) molecules are approximately 80 nucleotides in length. Their secondary structure includes four short double-helical elements and three loops (D, anti-codon, and T loops). Further hydrogen bonds mediate the characteristic L-shaped molecular structure. tRNAs have two regions of fundamental functional importance: the anti-codon, which is responsible for specific mRNA codon recognition, and the 3' end, to which the tRNAs corresponding amino acid is attached (by aminoacyl-tRNA synthetases). tRNAs cope with the degeneracy of the genetic code in two manners: having more than one tRNA (with a specific anti-codon) for a particular amino acid; and 'wobble' base-pairing, i.e. permitting non-standard base-pairing at the 3rd anti-codon position.
Source: RNAcentral